GAGGGUAGGAGAGGUGAGGUACGUAUUUGGUAUAAUGCGUAGUAUAUUUUGUAGCUAGAUCGAACACGAUCGUCUCCAAAGUGAUUGUUAUCUUAUCUGUAAUAUUUCUGCGAACUAGCCUUUUAUCUUGCUGGUUCGAAUAGCAAGGAAGCCAUCUUUUUUCGUAGCAAAAUGGUACGACUACGUAUGUAAUUCACGUCGCAUUUUGCAUUUUCGUCCUCACUUCUCAUUCUGUCUCCAGCCUGCCACGUUCGAACUACGUUCGGUUUUUUCGGUUUUUCGGUCGGUUUUUUUUCCAAAAUGUGUUAAUUAUCAUUUUUAUUUCGAUCGUAACUCGAAUGCGGUCAACUAAUUCGUAGUUUUUCGCGAUUGAUGUGCGAUUUUUCGUGGAUUUUUUUCAGGUAACGUGUCGUCGUGUCUCAAGAGUACCUGACCUGUCUUCGAGCAAGAGCAGUCAUCAUGGAGAAGGGUUGUGCAGAAACGUGAAGAUUUUUUCCAAAGAAUAUUCAAGAGUGAAAUUUGAGGACACCUUCAACUUCUCAACAACCCCAGUUCCAGUUUCUUGUUGGUAAGUUUUUGCACAUGUUUUUUUUAUAAUGCAUAUUACAAGUAUCAAGGUCAGUGCAACAGCUGAUGUUGCAUCAUUUGAUCAGAUUAUGAGACUUUUCCCAAUGACAUAUUUUUUACUUGCUACGUAUAAUCCCCUUGUCCCUCUCUCACAUUUCAUGACCACUUUGAAAGCAAAUUUCCAGGAUUGAAAAAUCGAAAUGACGUUGAGUAUUUUUUGUGAUUGAUCGAACCAUUUUUUCUAAUUUUUUAUGGUAGGAAUUGUGUAAUUACUCGAGUCUUAGCUACUUAGGUACUUACUUACUUAUACUUUCUAUUCUACUCUCCAGUUCGAAGUAAAGUAAUAUGACAAAAAAUUGACCUUCGUUAAGACCAUAUUCAGUACUGAUUAAUUUUAUCAAUUUUGAUUUUUUAUUUCUGAAAUGAUAUCCAAGUACCUACCUUGCCUUUUCUGUGUGAGCUUUCGUGAGAUGAGUUGUUGGAACUUGGGAGGUAAAUUGUCAGAAAAUACUGCCAAGGUAUUCUUUACAUGAUACCUAUUUACUCAAAAACGAGUGAAAAAAACUCUCAGAAAGUCCUCUUUCGAAUUUGUGAACGUGAAAAAUUUGAGAAAAUGCUGGAAGUACGAAGUAUGUGUACUAUGACUCGAGAUGGAUAUUUUGGCGAAAAAAAUCCUGCAAUAUGGUUCGGUUUAGAAUUUGUAUCGGUUUGAAAUUGACUCAAAUUCGCUCUAAAUGAGAUGACGUGAGCAAUGAGCAUGAUUUCAGAUUUCCACUCUUCUGCCAUGCCAUUUUUAUGGUGCCAUGUUGUAGCUGAGUAAUUUUCUAUUUAAUAUGGGUAUCUAGUCUCGACUUUUCGAGUACUUUGGUGCCAGAAUUUUCGUGUAAAUGCAGAAGAAAGGGAGGAGUGAGAGUUACGAGGCACUCGGUAUCGAUAUUUCGUUGUACGUAUCAUACAAAUGGCUUCGUUCGAUGCAGCCUUCGAGUCGGGGUUUUUUCGGAAUUACGAUAAGAUAACACUUUUGCCAUUCGAUUCUUGUCUCUGCCUAUGAGCAAAUCUAUUGUGAAGACGAAUGAAUUCUACGUAAUCCGAAUUCGUGUUCAGUUUCGACUUGAUUCUCGUACUAGUAUGAUCGAGAAGUACUUAGUAUGGUUGAUGACGCGACGUGUUCGAAUUUUUCCAAUUUUUUCGCGUAAAAGGUUGAAUUGGUUGAAAUAUUGUUUUGAGAAUUCGAAUUUUUUACCACGGUUCGUAAUAUCGGUGACUUUGUUUCUUAUUAAUGUCGUGAUUAGGUACCUAUUUGCGUAUGGGUAACCGAAGUAUUUCGAGUAAUGUUACUAGCUGAAAUUUUUGUUACGUAAAUUUUUAACGUGUUGUACGCGGAAUUUAUGUUGAUCGUUGAUAUUUCGUAUUCGUAUAAAAAUAAUUUUCGAGUAAUUUGGUUGAUCUUUUUUUUUUGGAACGAGAUCCUCGUGGAUGACUGAGGUGAAAAUCUUCAUCGAAGAGAAGACGAAACAUCGUGGUUCUCUCUGCUCGGCGAUUACUUCGGUAAUUUUGAUCCGAGUGAAUUCAAUUCGAAGAACGAAGAAGAGGUCAGAAAAUGUGGCGUUUUCCAUACAUCGAUCGUUACCUGGAAGGAUGUCGUGGUAAGAAAUUCGUUAUACCAAUUCUCUAUGUUUGAGCUUGUUUUUUUUUUUGCGAGUUUGUACGCAACUAAGUACGCACAUUGCGAGAAAAAAAUUUCAUAUGAGUAAAAUUGUGAGUUCUCCUCUGUCUUUUCAAGGCUGUGUUGCAACAUGCGUUUGAAAAAUGCUCUUCGAAAUGGUAUAAAAUUGAUUUUGUUGACGAUCGUUCAAAGUAUACCUAUUGCAUGUCGAGUUACGAAUAUUUUGUUACCCAUCAUGAAACGUGUGGUAAAUUGAAUGUGUUUGGAAUUUUCUAAAAUUAAUUCUUCGAGUUUUUUUUUUUUUUUUGAAGGUGUGUUAACCUUUGUAUGAAUUUUCGACAAUCAAAGAUCGAAGAAGGGAGGGAAUUGAAGACGCUACGAAGUAAAGUUGUUUUUUUUUUUGAAGGUGUGUUAAACCUUUGUAUGAAUUUUCGACAAUCAAAGAUCGAAGAAGGGAGGGAAUUGAAGACGCUACGAACUAAUUGCCCCAUUUUAAGUAUUGACAUAUAUCAGAAAUAAAAAACUCGAAUCAGUUUCCGAUCAAUUUGGCAGGAAGGUCAUUCCAUGUCAACUCAACCAACGUUUUUGGGUCAUGUCCUUAGAUUUUGCUCAAAUUUUUUUUACAAUAUCUACCCACCCAGUAAGUAAGAAAGCCGCAA
This is a long non-coding RNA of Planococcus citri (citrus mealybug), 2892 nucleotides long. RefSeq lists it as uncharacterized. NCBI's taxonomy places the organism in Eukaryota, Metazoa, Arthropoda, Insecta, Hemiptera, Pseudococcidae. The record is from RefSeq and is a predicted model, not a curated record. The transcript has 3 exons.